This 2196-nucleotide ribosomal RNA is filed under the name Triticum aestivum (bread wheat). RNAcentral describes it as "partial small subunit ribosomal RNA". Lineage: Eukaryota; Viridiplantae; Streptophyta; Magnoliopsida; Poales; Poaceae. The record is from RNAcentral.
AUGGCAGCAUGCCUUAGCCAAUUCUCAAUUCCUUAUGCCAUCGUCGAGCGCGAGAGCUGUAGCGCGUCACUCUGGCGCAACCGCGCGUAUGAUCGCCUCAAGCUGCAUCUCGCAAAGGAGUUCUGUGAGUUGCCACACAUGUCAUACCCUAUAGAUGCACCAACAUACAUACCAAAAACCUUGUUUGUGAAGUACUUGGAUGACUAUGUGGAGCGUUUCAACAUUCAACCAAAGUAUCUCACCAGCGUGGAGUCAUCCACAUAUGACAAUGAUGAAAAAUGUUGGUCCAUUGUGGAAAAGGACAUGUCAAAGUGCACCACAGUCAAGUUCACGGCGAAGUUUCUUGUUGUGGCAAGUGAUGAGAAUAGUGCAGAGAAUAUUCCAAUGUUCCCUGGACUGGAAAACUUUCCAGGUGAUGUUAUCCACUCCUCAAGAUACAAGUCAGGCAAGAGCUACUCUGGCAAGAAUGUAUUGGUCAUUGGAUCUGGCAACUCCGGGAUGGAAAUUGCUUAUGACCUUGCGACCCAUGGUGCCAACACAUCGAUUGUUAUACGAAGCCCGAUUCAUGUGAUGACAAAGGAAUUAAUUCGUUUGGGGAUCACACUUGCUCACCGUCUUCCAUUGAAUCUAGUGGAUAAAAUCCUUGUUAUGGCAUCGUAUUUAAUAUUUGGAGACCUGUCACAGCAUGGCAUCACAAGGCCAAAAAUGGGUCCAAUGACCCUCAAAUCAGAAACAGGCCGAUCUGCAGUAAUUGAUGUUGGGACUGUUGGAUUGAUCAAAAAAGGCAUCAUCAAAAAUGGUGAGAGCAUGUUAAAUGGCAAUGGACUGCCCAUCCAAAAAUAUCCGAAUCAUUGGAAAGGUGAAAAUGGGCUCUACUGUGCUGGGUUGGCGAGGAGAGGAUUAGCUGAUUCAUGUGAUUACAAGAAAAUUAAUUUAGUUGGGAUGACACUUGCUCACUUUCUUUCACUAAAUCUAGUGGGCGACCUCUUUGUGACGGCUGCGAAUGUCAUAUUUGGAGAUCGAUCGAGGACAUAUAUGACCAAUGUUAUGACCACGCAAGGGAUAACGGGCCUCCCAAUGGCAGCAUGCCUUAGCCAAUUCUCAAUUCCUUAUGCCAUCGUCGAGCGCGAGAGCUGUAGCGCGUCACUCUGGCGCAACCGCGCGUAUGAUCGCCUCAAGCUGCAUCUCGCAAAGGAGUUCUGUGAGUUGCCACACAUGUCAUACCCUAUAGAUGCACCAACAUACAUACCAAAAACCUUGUUUGUGAAGUACUUGGAUGACUAUGUGGAGCGUUUCAACAUUCAACCAAAGUAUCUCACCAGCGUGGAGUCAUCCACAUAUGACAAUGAUGAAAAAUGUUGGUCCAUUGUGGCAAAGGACAUGUCAAAGUGCACCACAGUCAAGUUCACGGCGAAGUUUCUUGUUGUGGCAAGUGGUGAGAAUAGUGCAGAGAAUAUUCCAAUGUUCCCUGGACUGGAAAACUUUCCAGGUGAUGUUAUCCACUCCUCAAGCUACAAGUCAGGCAAGAGCUACUCUGGCAAGAAUGUAUUGGUCAUUGGAUCUGGCAACUCCGGGAUGGAAAUUGCUUAUGACCUUGCGACCCAUGGUGCCAACACAUCGAUUGUUAUACGAAGCCCGAUUCAUGUAAUGACAAAGGAAUUAAUUCGUUUGGGGAUGACACUUGCUCACUAUCUUCCAUUGAAUCUAGUGGAUAAAAUCCUUGUUAUGGCAUCGUAUUUAAUAUUUGGAGACCUGUCACAGCAUGGCAUCACAAGGCCAAAAAUGGGUCCAAUGACCCUCAAAUCAGAAACAGGCCGAUCUGUAGUAAUUGAUGUUGGGACUAUUGGAUUGAUCAAAAAAGGCAUCAUCAAAGUUCAAGGGAGCAUUAGUAAGAUCAAGGGCAACAUAGUUAAAUUUCAAUGCAGUAAAAGAAUGCCAUUUGAUGCAAUUGUGUUUGCAACUGGAUAUAAAAGCACGGCAAAUAUGUGGCUCAAGGUCUAUGUGUUUUUAAUCCGGAAUGGUGAGAGCAUGUUAAAUGGCAACGGACUGCCCAUCCAAAAAUAUCCGAAUCAUUGGAAAGGUGAAAAUGGGCUCUACUGUGUUGGGUUGGCGAGGAGAGGAUUAGCUGGAAUUGCAACAGAUGCCAAGAAUAUCGCUAAUGACAUCAAAUCUGUGAUGGACUCUAUGUCAAGUUAA